GGCUAGGUAGCUCAGCCGGUUAGAGCGCAUCACUCAUAAUGAUGAGGUCGGCGGUUCGAGCCCGCCCCUAGCUACCA
This 77-nucleotide transfer RNA is filed under the name Gammaproteobacteria bacterium. Its description in RNAcentral is "tRNA-Met". It matches the Rfam family "tRNA". From Rfam's summary of the family: Transfer RNA (tRNA) molecules are approximately 80 nucleotides in length. Their secondary structure includes four short double-helical elements and three loops (D, anti-codon, and T loops). The record is from RNAcentral. RNAcentral also lists the same sequence under 5 other names. Lineage: Bacteria; Pseudomonadati; Pseudomonadota; Gammaproteobacteria.